GGCAUACCACCGCUAAAUCCUCCACAUAUCGCUUCUUUCAUCUUCUUAUUCUUCUUCUAUCAAGUAGAAUAAUAUUAAUCAACAAUUAUUCUUCUUCCAUCAAGCAAGACAACAAGAAAUGAAACAAGAAAAACAUAAUUCAAUCAAAUUCAAACUAGAAAACCAAACAUCCCAGCAACAAUCAUCAAAUUCGAAUAACACAUCUUUUGUCAAAUUCAAUUCAAAACCUAACAUCUUAACUUUCAAUUACAAUUUCAAUUUAUCAAAAUUGACUAGAGCAAAACUUUGAUAGAGAACUUUACCGAUAAGAACUCCACAUCAAUUACCCACUAUCAUUGCUUCCUCCACUGCUACUGCCAUCGCUACCGUCUCGCUCCUCUCUCUAAAUUUACAAUGUCAAACACUCAAUCAAUCACAACUCUCAACGUAUUAAAUCUUACCAUCUCGAAUCUCAACUCAUUAAACAAACAAGUUGCUGCUCCGGUCAAUUUUGAUAAAAGAUAAACAAAGAAAAAGCAUAAAAAAACUGAAAAAAUAUUAAAAAAGAAAAAAGAUGAAACAUGAAGCUACCAUCGCCAUUUAUUAGAUGCUUUGUUUGUUCUGUGGGAAGAAAACAAGAGUGGGCAACGACGGC
This 634-nucleotide long non-coding RNA is filed under the name Ricinus communis (castor bean). RNAcentral's name for it is "long non-coding RNA (RCOM_LNC003261)". The record is from RNAcentral. Lineage: Eukaryota; Viridiplantae; Streptophyta; Magnoliopsida; Malpighiales; Euphorbiaceae.